GACGAACGCUGGCGGCGUGCUUAGCACAUGCAAGUCGAACGGAAAGGCCCUGCUUGCAGGGUACUCGAGUGGCGAACGGGUGAGUAACACGUGGGUGAUCUGCCCUGCACUUCGGGAUAAGCCUGGGAAACUGGGUCUAAUACCGGAUAGGAGCCAUUUUUAGUGUGAUGGUUGGAAAGUUUUUUCGGUGUAGGAUGAGCUCGCGGCCUAUCAGCUUGUUGGUGGGGUAAUGGCCUACCAAGGCGGCGACGGGUAGUCGGCCUGAGAGGGUGGACGGCCACAUUGGGACUGAGAUACGGCCCAGACUCCUACGGGAGGCAGCAGUGGGGAAUAUUGCACAAUGGGCGCAAGCCUGAUGCAGCGACGCCGCGUGGGGGAUGACGGCCUUCGGGUUGUAAACUCCUUUCGCUAGGGACGAAGCUUUUGUGACGGUACCUAGAUAAGAAGCACCGGCUAACUACGUG
Molecule: ribosomal RNA, 464 nt
Filed under: uncultured bacterium
Lineage: Bacteria
Description: partial 16S ribosomal RNA
Rfam family: Bacterial small subunit ribosomal RNA
Source: RNAcentral